GAUGAACGCUAGCUAUAGGCUUAACACAUGCAAGUCGAGGGGCAGCGAAUAGAUAGCUUGCUAUUUAUGUCGGCGACCGGCGCACGGGUGAGUAACGCGUAUCCAACCUGCCCAUAACUAAGGGAUAACCCAGCGAAAGUUGGACUAAUACCUUAUGUAUUCGUUUGAUCUCAUGAGAUUACGAAUAAAGAUUUAUCGGUGAUGGAUGGGGAUGCGUCUGAUUAGCUUGUUGGCGGGGUAACGGCCCACCAAGGCAACGAUCAGUAGGGGUUCUGAGAGGAAGGUCCCCCACAUUGGAACUGAGACACGGUCCAAACUCCUACGGGAGGCAGCAGUGAGGAAUAUUGGUCAAUGGACGCAAGUCUGAACCAGCCAAGUAGCGUGCAGGAUGACGGCCCUAUGGGUUGUAAACUGCUUUUAUAUGGGGAUAAAGUGGGGAACGUGUUCCCUUUUGCAGGUACCAUAUGAAUAAGGACCGGCUAAUUCCGUG
This 490-nucleotide ribosomal RNA is filed under the name uncultured bacterium. RNAcentral's name for it is "partial 16S ribosomal RNA". It matches the Rfam family "Bacterial small subunit ribosomal RNA", at positions 28 to 507 of the family's 1533-position model. The record is from RNAcentral.